Molecule: ribosomal RNA, 441 nt
Filed under: uncultured bacterium
Lineage: Bacteria
Description: partial 16S ribosomal RNA
Rfam family: Bacterial small subunit ribosomal RNA
Source: RNAcentral
CCUACGGGUGGCAGCAGUGGGGAAUAUUGGGCAAUGGACGCAAGUCUGACCCAGCAACGCCGCGUGAAGGAAGAAGGCUUUCGGGUUGUAAACUUCUUUUAAGGGGGAAGAGCAGAAGACGGUACCCCUUGAAUAAGCCACGGCUAACUACGUGCCAGCAGCCGCGGUAAUACGUAGGUGGCAAGCGUUGUCCGGAUUUACUGGGUGUAAAGGGCGUGCAGCCGGAGAGACAAGUCAGAUGGGAAAUCACGGGGCUCAACCCGUGAACUGCAUUUGAAACUGUUUCCCUUGAGUGUCGGAGGGGUAACCGGAAUCCCUGGUGUAGCGGUGAAAUGGGUAGAUAAAAGGAAGAAAACCAGGGGCGAGGGCGGAUUACUGGACGAUAACGGACGGUGAGGCGCGAAAGCGUGGGAGCAAACAGGAUUAGAUACCCGAGUAGUC